CCUACGGGAGGCAGCAGUGAGGAAUAUUGGUCAAUGGCCGUAAGGCUGAACCAGCCAAGUCGCGUGAAGGAAGAAGGAUCUAUGGUUUGUAAACUUCUUUUAUAGGGGAAUAAAGGUAUCCACGUGUGGAUAUUUGCAUGUACCCUAUGAAUAAGCAUCGGCUAACUCCGUGCCAGCAGCCGCGGUAAUACGGAGGAUGCGAGCGUUAUCCGGAUUUAUUGGGUUUAAAGGGUGCGUAGGUUGUUUUUUAAGUCAGCGGUGAAAGUUUGUGGCUCAACCAUAAAAUUGCCGUUGAAACUGGAAGACGUGAGAGUGUUUGAGGUAGGCGGAAUGCGUGGUGUAGCGGUGAAAUGCAUAGAUAUCACGCAGAACUCCGAUUGCGAAGGCAGCUUACUAAGCCAUAACUGACACUGAAGCACGAAAGCGUGGGGAUCAAACAGGAUUAGAUACCCUUGUAGUC
Molecule: ribosomal RNA, 460 nt
Filed under: uncultured bacterium
Lineage: Bacteria
Description: partial 16S ribosomal RNA
Rfam family: Bacterial small subunit ribosomal RNA
Source: RNAcentral